RNAcentral lists this ribosomal RNA (468 nucleotides) under uncultured bacterium. RNAcentral describes it as "partial 16S ribosomal RNA". It matches the Rfam family "Bacterial small subunit ribosomal RNA", at positions 28 to 507 of the family's 1533-position model. The record is from RNAcentral.
GACGAACGCUGGCGGUGUGCUUAACACAUGCAAGUCGAACGGUAAGGCCCUUUCGGGGGUACACGAGUGGCGCACGGGUGAGUAACACGUGAGUAACCUGCCCUCAUCUCUGGGAUAACAGUCGGAAACGGUUGCUAAUACUGGAUAUGAGCUUGCAAGGCAUCUUGUGGGUUGGAAAGAUUUUUUUUGGUUGGGGAUGGACUCGCGGCCUAUCAGCUUGUUGGUGAGGUAGUGGCUCACCAAGGCUUCGACGGGUAGCCGGCCUGAGAGGGCGACCGGCCACAUUGGGACUGAGAUACGGCCCAAACUCCUACGGGAGGCAGCAGUGGGGAAUAUUGCACAAUGGACGGAAGUCUGAGGCAGCAACGCCGCGUGCGGGAUGACGGCCUUCGGGUUGUAAACCGCUUUCAAUUGUGACGAAGCUUUUUUGUGACGGUAGCAGUAGAAGAAGCACCGGCUAACUACGUG